RNAcentral lists this ribosomal RNA (433 nucleotides) under uncultured bacterium. Its description in RNAcentral is "partial 16S ribosomal RNA". It matches the Rfam family "Bacterial small subunit ribosomal RNA", at positions 29 to 507 of the family's 1533-position model. The record is from RNAcentral.
AGCGAACGCUGGCGGCAGGCCUAACACAUGCAAGUCGAACGGAUCCUUCGGGAUUAGUGGCGGACGGGUGAGUAACACGUGGGAACGUGCCCUUUGGUUCGGAACAACUCAGGGAAACUUGAGCUAAUACCGGAUGUGCCCUUCGGGGGAAAGAUUUAUCGCCAUUGGAGCGGCCCGCGUCUGAUUAGCUAGUUGGUGAGGUAACGGCCCACCAAGGCGACGAUCAGCAGCUGGUCUGAGAGGAUGAUCAGCCACACUGGGACUGAGACACGGCCCAGACUCCUACGGGAGGCAGCAGUGGGGAAUCUUGCGCAAUGGGCGAAAGCCUGACGCAGCCAGGCCGCGUGAAUGAUGAAGGUCUUAGGAUUGUAAAAUUCUUUCAGCGGGGACGAUAAUGACGGUACCCGCAGAAGAAGCUCCGGCUAACUUCGUG